This 577-nucleotide small RNA is filed under the name Pan troglodytes (chimpanzee). Its description in RNAcentral is "retained intron". Lineage: Eukaryota; Metazoa; Chordata; Mammalia; Primates; Hominidae. The record is from RNAcentral.
GCCACAGGACAUUACAAUCCGUUCUUUCCAGGCAAACUGGUCAUACCUGUAACUACAGCUCCAAAUAUCUCCUGGUCUGACCUCAGUGCCCUGGAGUUGUUGAAAUCUAUACCAGUGGGAGUUGGUCAGAUCUAUGGCUGUGAUAAUCCAUGGACAGGGGGCAUUUUCCUGGGAGCCAUCCUACUCUCCUCCCCACUCAUGUGCCUGCAUGCUGCCAUAGGAUCAUUGCUGGGCAUAGCAGCGGGACUCAGUCUUUCAGCCCCAUUUGAGGACAUCUACUUUGGACUCUGGGGUUUCAACAGCUCUCUGGCCUGCAUUGCAAUGGGAGGAAUGUUCAUGGCGCUCACCUGGCAAACCCACCUCCUGGCUCUUGGCUGUGGUGAGUCUCCCACGCCCCUGGGGGAGGGCUGCUCAUGACUACAGGAUCUCAAUCAAGGAUAAGCAGUAAAAACGGACUGCAUGAAAAAUCAGGGCCAGGGUUCUGGCUUGAGCCCACUUGCUGUCUAAGUGUGUGAACAGGACAAGUGACGUCCCCUCUCUGAGAGCAUUAAAAUCACCUCUGCCUACCUCUGUGAUG